AGAGUUUGAUCCUGGCUCAGGAUGAACGCUGGCGGCGUGCUUAACACAUGCAAGUCGAACGGGGAACAUUUUAUGGAAACUUCGGUGGAAAUAGCUUGUUCCUAGUGGCGGACGGGUGAGUAACGCGUGGGUAACCUGCCUCACACUGGGGGAUAACAGUCAGAAAUGACUGCUAAUACCGCAUAAGCGCACGGGAUUGCAUGAUCCAGUGUGAAAAACUCCGGUGGUGUGAGAUGGACCCGCGUUGGAUUAGCCAGUUGGCAGGGUAACGGCCUACCAAAGCGACGAUCCAUAGCCGGCCUGAGAGGGUGGACGGCCACAUUGGGACUGAGACACGGCCCAGACUCCUACGGGAGGCAGCAGUGGGGAAUAUUGCACAAUGGGGGAAACCCUGAUGCAGCGACGCCGCGUGAAGGAAGAAGUAUCUCGGUAUGUAAACUUCUAUCAGCAGGGAAGAAAAUGACGGUACCUGACUAAGAAGCCCCGGCUAACUACGUGCCAGCAGCCGCGGUAAUACGUAGGGGGCAAGCGUUAUCCGGAUUUACUGGGUGUAAAGGGAGCGUAGACGGAGCAGCAAGUCUGAUGUGAAAGGCGGGGGCUCAACCCCUGGACUGCAUUGGAAACUGUUGAUCUUGAGUACCGGAGAGGUAAGCGGAAUUCCUAGUGUAGCGGUGAAAUGCGUAGAUAUUAGGAGGAACACCAGUGGCGAAGGCGGCUUACUGGACGGUAACUGACGUUGAGGCUCGAAAGCGUGGGGAGCAAACAGGAUGAGAUACCCUGGUAGUCCACGCCGUAAACGAU
This 801-nucleotide ribosomal RNA is filed under the name uncultured bacterium. RNAcentral describes it as "bacterial SSU rRNA". It matches the Rfam family "Bacterial small subunit ribosomal RNA", at positions 8 to 810 of the family's 1533-position model. The record is from RNAcentral.